This 423-nucleotide ribosomal RNA is filed under the name uncultured bacterium. Its description in RNAcentral is "bacterial SSU rRNA". It matches the Rfam family "Bacterial small subunit ribosomal RNA", at positions 355 to 774 of the family's 1533-position model. The record is from RNAcentral.
UGAGGAAUAUUGGUCAAUGGGCGAGAGCCUGAACCAGCCAUGCCGCGUGCAGGAUGACUGCCCUAUGGGUUGUAAACUGCUUUUCUGUGGGAAGAAAAGCGAGGAUUUGUUCCUUGCUUGACGGUACCACAGGAAUAAGCAUCGGCUAACUCCGUGCCAGCAGCCGCGGUAAUACGGAGGAUGCAAGCGUUAUCCGGAUUCAUUGGGUUUAAAGGGUGCGCAGGCGGGGUGAUAAGUCAGUGGUGAAAGCCCGGAGCUUAACUUCGGGAUUGCCAUUGAAACUGUCACUCUUGAGUGCAGUCGGAGACGGCGGAAUGAGUUAUGUAGCGGUGAAAUGCAUAGAUAUAACUCAGAACACCGAUCGCGAAGGCAGCUGUCUAGACUGCUACUGACGCUGAGGCACGAAAGCGUGGGGAGCAAACA